Molecule: ribosomal RNA, 766 nt
Filed under: uncultured Staphylococcus sp.
Lineage: Bacteria; Bacillati; Bacillota; Bacilli; Caryophanales; Staphylococcaceae
Description: bacterial SSU rRNA
Rfam family: Bacterial small subunit ribosomal RNA
Source: RNAcentral
GAUGAACGCUGGCGGCGUGCCUAAUACAUGCAAGUCGAGCGAACAGAUAAGGAGCUUGCUCCUUUGACGUUAGCGGCGGACGGGUGAGUAACACGUGGAUAACCUACCUAUAAGACUGGGAUAACUUCGGGAAACCGGAGCUAAUACCGGAUAAGAUUUUGAACCGCAUGGUUCAAUAGUGAAAGACGGCCUUGCUGUCACUUAUAGAUGGAUCCGCGCCGUAUUAGCUAGUUGGUAAGGUAACGGCUUACCAAGGCAACGAUACGUAGCCGACCUGAGAGGGUGAUCGGCCACACUGGAACUGAGACACGGUCCAGACUCCUACGGGAGGCAGCAGUAGGGAAUCUUCCGCAAUGGGCGAAAGCCUGACGGAGCAACGCCGCGUGAGUGAUGAAGGUCUUCGGAUCGUAAAACUCUGUUAUCAGGGAAGAACAAACGUGUAAGUAACUGUGCACGUCUUGACGGUACCUGAUCAGAAAGCCACGGCUAACUACGUGCCAGCAGCCGCGGUAAUACGUAGGGCGCAAGCGUUGUCCGGAAUUAUUGGGCGUAAAGAGCUCGUAGGCGGUCUGUCGCGUCUGCUGUGAAAUCCCGAGGCUCAACCUCGGGCUUGCAGUGGGUACGGGCAGACUAGAGUGCGGUAGGGGAGAAUGGAAUUCCUGGUGUAGCGGUGGAAUGCGCAGAUAUCAGGAGGAACACCGAUGGCGAAGGCAGUUCUCUGGGCCGUAACUGACGCUGAGGAGCGAAAGCGUGGGGAGCGAACAGG